RNAcentral lists this unclassified non-coding RNA (274 nucleotides) under Hevea brasiliensis (rubber tree). The record is from RNAcentral. Lineage: Eukaryota; Viridiplantae; Streptophyta; Magnoliopsida; Malpighiales; Euphorbiaceae.
AAUUUUACGUUGGAAUUGGAUAUUCUGGUAGGAAUGGUCUAAUAUAUGCCCACGGCAUUUGCUUCUCAUACUGUUAAUUAUAAAGAGUUUUAUUUUUUUUUGGGUUUAAUAUCCUGCAUUUGGUAGUCAAUAUUGUUGCUGAUUACAUUUUUACUGCCACUGGCAUAGGGGUGGUCGGGGCCAAUUCUAGGCAUGAAUCAGCAGUUUUGAUUUAAGGUUAUGGGGGACCAGGACUGGUCCUUAACAGUUAUUUUUUAUUUUAUUUUAAUUAGUG